Non-coding RNA from Pelobates cultripes (western spadefoot toad), 423 nucleotides. Lineage: Eukaryota; Metazoa; Chordata; Amphibia; Anura; Pelobatidae. The record is from the annotation of a GenBank genome assembly.
GGUUACUGUAAUAAGACGUUUCAGAGGUAAUAAGGCACUCAGGAGCCGGGUUACUGUAAUAAGAUGUUACAGGGGGUAAUAAGUCACUCAGGAGCCGGGUUACUGUAAUAAGAUGUUACGGGGUAAUAAGGCACUCAGGAGCCGGGUUACAGUAAUAAGACGUUACCGAGUUAAUAAGGCACUCAGGAGCCGGGUUACAGUAAUAAGACGUUACAGAGGUAAUAAGGCGCUCAGGAGCCGGGUUACUGUAAUAAGAUGUUACAGAGUAAUAAGGCGCUCAGGAGCCGGGUUACUGUAAUAAGGCGCUCAGGAGUCGGGUUACUGUAAUAAGAUGUUACACGGUAAUUAUAAUACAGGGUAAUAAGGCACUCAGGAGCCGGGUUACUGUAAUAAGAUGUUACAGGGUAAUAAGGCACUCAGGAG